GGGUCCAGUCUAAUUCUGCAUAAUGGUUUAAUUUUGUAGUCUCGCUUUUGGACCAGAUUAAAUCCCAUCCUUUAUUAUCCUUGUGCUUGUGAUAAUAUCAAAUUUCAAUGCACACGAGAAACGUAAAGGAACAUUA
RNAcentral lists this small nucleolar RNA (136 nucleotides) under Drosophila yakuba. Its description in RNAcentral is "snoRNA:GE27222". It matches the Rfam family "Small nucleolar RNA psi28S-1192". From Rfam's summary of the family: psi28S-1192 is a member of the H/ACA class of snoRNA. This family is responsible for guiding the modification of uridine 1192 to pseudouridine in Drosophila 28S rRNA. The record is from RNAcentral. Lineage: Eukaryota; Metazoa; Arthropoda; Insecta; Diptera; Drosophilidae.